This is a long non-coding RNA of Carassius auratus (goldfish), 729 nucleotides long. RefSeq lists it as uncharacterized. Lineage: Eukaryota; Metazoa; Chordata; Actinopteri; Cypriniformes; Cyprinidae. The record is from RefSeq and is a predicted model, not a curated record. The transcript is spliced from 3 exons.
AACGCGAGCGCCAAAAGCGGAACUAAUGUGACGCAACGUUCUACACGGGUAAAUUAGUGCAGCGCACCCAAACACAUUAGGAACUUAAUCAUAUUCAGGGAUGCAAACAUCGCACUUUUUUCACAUCAGUUUGGGUGACUUGGGUCCUGAUUUUAAUUUCUCAAAGUCAUCUGAAGCAAUUCCAUAGCUUAAUGUUAUGAACAGAAGACUAUUUACAUCAUUAAAUUAAAGUUUACGGAAACCUUGUUUUCCCUCCUCUGCGGCUGUAAAUCAUUCUCCAUUCAGUAAAUAGCGCGCACCUCGUCCAUUUACAGCAGGAUGCAUGGCCUUCAGGGAGGCAGAUCACCUGAUAUUCAGAGGACUCCAGUCUCAGCUGUUCCUCUGUUUUCUCCGAAUCCCCAUGAAGGGUCGCUGGUUUAAUGUGUUCUUCGUGUCAGAUAUGAGCUUUCUGGAGCCCUGAGGGUCAUUACAGGCGUCUUACAUCAACAUUUACUGCUAGAGUGUGAUGAAAACAGGACAGACGCUACAGAAUCCAUUCAUGCACCUGUUGACAAGAUCAGCUGCUCUUUCCAGCACAUGAAGGGUUAAAAGAUGCAUGUUUUGGCCCGUCAACACCUUCCUGAGUGAGUAAACACUCACUUUAGGAUCAAGAGUGUGGCGUGCCAAAAAUCUCAUUCACUAGAGAGGCAGUAAAUCUGUCUUACCUUCAGCCGCGGGACACAGAGACAG